RNAcentral lists this ribosomal RNA (425 nucleotides) under uncultured bacterium. Its description in RNAcentral is "partial 16S ribosomal RNA". It matches the Rfam family "Bacterial small subunit ribosomal RNA", at positions 354 to 796 of the family's 1533-position model. The record is from RNAcentral.
GUGGGGAAUCUUAGACAAUGGGCGCAAGCCUGAUCUAGCCAUGCCGCGUGAUCGAUGAAGGCCUUAGGGUUGUAAAGAUCUUUCAGUGGGGAAGAUAAUGACUGUAGCCGGAGAAGAAGCCCCGGCUAACUUCGUGCCAGCAGCCGCGGUAAUACGAAGGGGGCUAGCGUUGCUCGGAUUUACUGGGCGUAAAGGGCGCGUAGGCGGACAUUUAAGUCAGGGGUGAAAUCCCGGGGCUCAACCUCGGAACUGCCUUUGAUACUGGGUGUCUUGAGUAUGAGAGAGGUGUGUGGAACUCCGAGUGUAGAGGUGAAAUUCGUAGAUAUUCGGAAGAACACCAGUGGCGAAGGCGACACACUGGCUCAUUACUGACGCUGAGGCGCGAAAGCGUGGGGAGCAAACAGGAUUAGAAACCCUGGUAGUCC